CCCUACGGGGUGCAGCAGCCGCCGCGGUAAACCUUUGCGAUGGGCGAAAGCGUGACGAGGUUAGUCCGAGUGGCUUCCGCUGAGGAGGUCUUUAGCUAGCUGUAAAAAGGCUGGAGAAUAAGGGGAGGGCAAGCCUGGUGCAAGCCGCCGCGGUAA
Molecule: ribosomal RNA, 156 nt
Filed under: uncultured crenarchaeote
Lineage: Archaea; Thermoproteati; Thermoproteota
Description: 16S ribosomal RNA
Rfam family: Archaeal small subunit ribosomal RNA
Source: RNAcentral